Molecule: small nuclear RNA, 141 nt
Filed under: Seriola lalandi dorsalis
Lineage: Eukaryota; Metazoa; Chordata; Actinopteri; Carangiformes; Carangidae
Description: U4 spliceosomal RNA (ENSSLDG00000023523.1)
Rfam family: U4 spliceosomal RNA
About the family: U4 small nuclear RNA (U4 snRNA) is a component of the major U2-dependent spliceosome.
Source: RNAcentral
AUCUUUGCGCAGUGGCAGUAUCGUAGCCUAUGAGGUUUAUCCGAGGCGCGAUUAUUGCUAGUUGAAAACUUUACCCAAUACCCCGCCUAGACGACUUGAAAUAUAGUCGGCAACGGCAAUUUUUGACAGUCUUUACGGAGA